RNAcentral lists this ribosomal RNA (467 nucleotides) under uncultured bacterium. Its description in RNAcentral is "partial 16S ribosomal RNA". It matches the Rfam family "Bacterial small subunit ribosomal RNA", at positions 28 to 506 of the family's 1533-position model. The record is from RNAcentral.
GACGAACGCUGGCGGCGUGCUUAACACAUGCAAGUCGAACGGAAAGGCCCUGCUUUUGUGGGGUUCUCGAGUGGCGAACGGGUGAGUAACACGUGAGUAACCUGCCCUUGACUUUGGGAUAACUUCAGGAAACUCGGGCUAAUAUAGGAUAGGAGAUCUUGCUGCACGGUGGGGGUUGGAAAGUUUCGGCGGUUGUGGAUGGACUAGCGGCUUAUCAGCUUGUUGGUGGGGUAGUGGCUUACCAAGGCUUCGACGGGUAGCCGGCCUGAGAGGGAGACCGGGCACAGUGGGACAGGGGUACGGCCCAGACUGAUACGGGAGGCAUCAGUGGAGAACUGUGCACGAUGCGCGGAAGCAGGAUGCAACAACUCCGCGUGCGAGAAGACUGCCUUCGGGGUGUAAACAGCUUGCGCCUGUGACGGAGCGUGAGUGACGGUAAUAAGUAAAGAAGCACCGGCAAACUACGU